GGUGGCUCAGUGGUAGAGUGUUUGCCUUGCAUGCAUGAGGUCCUGGGUUAGAUUUCUCAGCACCA
RNAcentral lists this transfer RNA (65 nucleotides) under Dipodomys ordii (Ord's kangaroo rat). It matches the Rfam family "tRNA". From Rfam's summary of the family: Transfer RNA (tRNA) molecules are approximately 80 nucleotides in length. Lineage: Eukaryota; Metazoa; Chordata; Mammalia; Rodentia; Heteromyidae. The record is from Rfam by way of RNAcentral.